Molecule: ribosomal RNA, 3123 nt
Rfam family: Bacterial large subunit ribosomal RNA
GGCCAAGUUUUUAAGGGCGCACGGUGGAUGCCUUGGCACCAGGAACCGAUGAAGGACGUGGGAGGCCACGAUAGUCCCCGGGGAGUCGUCAACCAGGCUUUGAUCCGGGGGUUUCCGAAUGGGGAAACCCGGCAGUCGUCAUGGGCUGUCACCCUUGUCUGAACACAUAGGGCAAGUGGAGGGAACGCGGGGAAGUGAAACAUCUCAGUACCCGCAGGAAGAGAAAACAACCGUGAUUCCGGGAGUAGUGGCGAGCGAAACUGGAUGAGGCCAAACCGUAUACGUGUGAGACCCGGCAGGGGUUGCGUAUGCGGGGUUGUGGGAUCUCUCUUUCACAGUCUGCCGGCUGUGAGACGAGUCAGAAACCGUUGAUGUAGGCGAAGGACAUGCGAAAGGUCCGGCGUAGAGGGUAAGACCCCCGUAGUCGAAACAUCAGCGGCUCGUUUGAGAGACACCCAAGUAGCACGGGGCCCGAGAAAUCCCGUGUGAAUCUGGCGGGACCACCCGCUAAGCCUAAAUAUUCCCUGGUGACCGAUAGCGGAUAGUACCGUGAGGGAAUGGUGAAAAGUACCCCGGGAGGGGAGUGAAAUAGUACCUGAAACCGUGUGCCUACAAGCCGUGGGAGCGUCGGACAUCAGCUUGCUGAUGUCUCGUGACUGCGUGCCUUUUGAAGAAUGAGCCUGCGAGUUUGCGGUGUGUUGCGAGGUUAACCCGUGUGGGGAAGCCGUAGCGAAAGCGAGUCCGAAUAGGGCGGUAUAGUAGCGCGCUCAAGACCCGAAGCGGAGUGAUCUAGCCAUGGGCAGGUUGAAGCGGAGGUAAGACUUCGUGGAGGACCGAACCCACCAGGGUUGAAAACCUGGGGGAUGACCUGUGGUUAGGGGUGAAAGGCCAAUCAAACUCCGUGAUAGCUGGUUCUCCCCGAAAUGCAUUUAGGUGCAGCGUCGUGUGUUUCUUGCCGGAGGUAGAGCACUGGAUAGGCGAUGGGCCCUACCGGGUUACUGACCUUAGCCAAACUCCGAAUGCCGGUAAGUGAGAGCGCGGCAGUGAGACUGUGGGGGAUAAGCUCCAUGGUCGAGAGGGAAACAGCCCAGAGCAUCGACUAAGGCCCCUAAGCGUACGCUAAGUGGGAAAGGAUGUGGAGUCGCAGAGACAACCAGGAGGUUGGCUUAGAAGCAGCCACCCUUGAAAGAGUGCGUAAUAGCUCACUGGUCUAGUGAUUCCGCGCCGACAAUGUAGCGGGGCUCAAGCGUACCGCCGAAGUCGUGUCAUUGCGAUAUGUACCCCCAACGGGGAUCGUGAUGGGUAGGGGAGCGUCGUGUGCCGGGUGAAGCCGCGCCGGAAGGCAGUGGUGGACGGUUCACGAGUGAGAAUGCAGGCAUGAGUAGCGAUUCACACGUGAGAAACGUGUGCGCCGAUUGACUAAGGGUUCCUGGGUCAAGCUGAUCUGCCCAGGGUAAGUCGGGACCUAAGGCGAGGCCGACAGGCGUAGUCGAUGGAUAACCGGUUGAUAUUCCGGUACCCGCUGUGAAGCGUCAAACAUCGAAUCCAGUGAUGCUAAGCCCGUGAAGCCGCCGGCUGAGUCUUCGGACGAGGUCGGAGUGGUGGAGCCGGUGACCCGAGCUGGUAGUAGGUGAGUGAUGGGGUGACGCAGGAAGGUAGUCCAUCCCGGGCGGUGGUUGUCCCGGGGUAAGGGUGUAGGACGUCAGGUAGGCAAAUCCGCCUGACAUGUGUCUGAGACCUGAUGCCGAGCCGAUUGUGGUGAAGUGGAUGAUCCUAUGCUGUCGAGAAAAGCCUCUAGCGAGUUUCAUGGCGGCCCGUACCCUAAACCGACUCAGGUGGUCAGGUAGAGAAUACCGAGGCGUUCGGGUGAACUAUGGUUAAGGAACUCGGCAAAAUGCCCCCGUAACUUCGGGAGAAGGGGGGCCACACCUGGUGAGGGAAUUUUCUUCCUGAGCUGGGGGUGGCCGCAGAGACCAGCGAGAAGCGACUGUUUACUAAAAACACAGGUCCGUGCGAAGCCGUAAGGCGAUGUAUACGGACUGACGCCUGCCCGGUGCUGGAACGUUAAGGGGACCGGUUAGCUCCAUUUCGGUGGGGCGAAGCUGAGAACUUAAGCGCCAGUAAACGGCGGUGGUAACUAUAACCAUCCUAAGGUAGCGAAAUUCCUUGUCGGGUAAGUUCCGACCUGCACGAAUGGCGUAACGACUUCUCGACUGUCUCAACCAUAGGCCCGGUGAAAUUGCACUACGAGUAAAGAUGCUCGUUUCGCGCAGCAGGACGGAAAGACCCCGGGACCUUUACUACAGUUUGAUAUUGGUGUUCGGUUCGGCUUGUGUAGGAUAGCUGGGAGACUGUGAACUCUGGACGCCAGUUCAGGGGGAGUCGUCGUUGAAAUACCAGUCUGGUCGUGCUGGAUGUCUAACCUGGGUCCGUGAUCCGGAUCAGGGACAGUGUCUGAUGGGUAGUUUAACUGGGGCGGUUGCCUCCUAAAGAGUAACGGAGGCGCCCAAAGGUUCCCUCAGCCUGGUUGGCAAUCAGGUGUUGAGUGUAAGUGCACAAGGGAGCUUGACUGUGAGACCGACGGGUCGAGCAGGGACGAAAGUCGGGACUAGUGAUCCGGCGGUGGCUUGUGGAAGCGCCGUCGCUCAACGGAUAAAAGGUACCCCGGGGAUAACAGGCUGAUCUUCCCCAAGAGUCCAUAUCGACGGGAUGGUUUGGCACCUCGAUGUCGGCUCGUCGCAUCCUGGGGCUGGAGUCGGUCCCAAGGGUUGGGCUGUUCGCCCAUUAAAGCGGUACGCGAGCUGGGUUUAGAACGUCGUGAGACAGUUCGGUCCCUAUCCGCUGCGCGCGCAGGAAUAUUGAGAAGGGCUGUCCCUAGUACGAGAGGACCGGGACGGACGAACCUCUGGUGUGCCAGUUGUUCUGCCAAGGGCAUGGCUGGUUGGCUACGUUCGGGAGGGAUAACCGCUGAAAGCAUCUAAGCGGGAAGCCUGCUUCGAGAUGAGUAUUCCCACCCACUUGAUGGGGUAAGGCUCCCAGUAGACGACUGGGUUGAUAGGCCGGAUCUGGAAGCACGGUAACGUGUGGAGGUGACCGGUACUAAUAGGCCGAGGGCUUGUCCUC